Molecule: ribosomal RNA, 964 nt
Filed under: uncultured bacterium
Lineage: Bacteria
Description: bacterial SSU rRNA
Rfam family: Bacterial small subunit ribosomal RNA
Source: RNAcentral
AGAGUUUGAUUCUGGCUCAGGACGAACGCUGGCGGCGUGCUUAACACAUGCAAGUCGAGCGGUAAGGCCUUUCGGGGUACACGAGCGGCGAACGGGUGAGUAACACGUGGGUGAUCUGCCCUGCACUUCGGGAUAAGCCUGGGAAACUGGGUCUAAUACCGGAUAUGACCUCCUAUCGCAUGGUGGGUGGUGGAAAGAUUUAUCGGUGCAGGAUGGGCCCGCGGCCUAUCAGCUUGUUGGUGGGGUAAUGGCCUACCAAGGCGACGACGGGUAGCCGGCCUGAGAGGGUGAUCGGCCACAUUGGGACUGAGAUACGGCCCAGACUCCUACGGGAGGCAGCAGUGGGGAAUAUUGCACAAUGGGCGGAAGCCUGAUGCAGCGACGCCGCGUGAGGGAUGACGGCCUUCGGGUUGUAAACCUCUUUCAGCAGGGACGAAGCGUAAGUGACGGUACCUGCAGAAGAAGCACCGGCUAACUACGUGCCAGCAGCCGCGGUAAUACGUAGGGUGCGAGCGUUGUCCGGAAUUACUGGGCGUAAAGAGCUCGUAGGCGGUUUGUCACGUCGUCUGUGAAAUCCUAGGGCUUAACCCUGGACGUGCAGGCGAUACGGGCUGACUUGAGUACUACAGGGGAGACUGGAAUUUCUGGUGUAGCGGUGAAAUGCGCAGAUAUCAGGAGGAACACCGGUGGCGAAGGCGGGUCUCUGGGCAGUAACUGACGCUGAGGAGCGAAAGCAUGGGUAGCGAACAGGAUUAGAUACCCUGGUAGUCCAUGCCGUAAACGGUAGGCGCUAGGUGUGGGUUUCCUUCCACGGGAUCCGUGCCGUAGCUAACGCAUUAAGCGCCCCGCCUGGGGAGUACGGCCGCAAGGCUAAAACUCAAAGGAAUUGACGGGGGCCCGCACAAGCGGCGGAGCAUGUGGAUUAAUUCGAUGCAACGCGAAGAACCUUACCUGGGCUUGACAU